CCUAGAUAAUAAGGAGCUGAAACGGCAUUCGACCAGAUUCUACCAAUCGCUGAGAACACCAAGGCUCUGAGAAGCUAAUGAACUUAAGAUGACAGAAUCAGUAAAUGGCAUAGCUGGAAGUUGAAAAUUGGAUGCCUAACUCCAAAAUAUGGCAGUUAUUUGGAGACAAAUUCCACCAUUAAUAUGCAAUAUCAGAGAGAAGACUAUAGUCAUUGAUGGCACCUGACUACUUCAUGGAGGAGAUGUCAAUUUUCAAAGAGAAAAUAAGACUUGGAAUUGACAGGACACAGCACAAUCAAGUUCUAGUCAUGGUACCAUGAGCAAUGGGAAUGCAUGUCUGAUGCCAGGGACAGACAGCCUCAACUCAGUGGACAUGGCCACCAGGAGGAGUUUCCCGGACUGGGCAUGUGUAUUUUACCCUCAUGGAGCUUCAGAAGGAUGCUAUCAUAAGGCUGAAGUACUGGAGUCCUGGCCACAGGAAUGUGGUGGCCCUUGGCUUUUUGUGUAACUUUGUACCUGGCAUCUACUCUGGGCAUAGCCUGCACUAGGAUCUAAGGGAAUGGUGAGAGAAUGCCAGCAGAGUCUCUUCAAGGCCUUUGGGGGAGGAGCUCCUAGAUAAUUCCUGUCUCCUGCUGGAUAUAUUUCCCUCAUGUAGGCAGUUCUGCUUCUCUUCUCAGCUUACAAAUACCACAAUUCAGCAAAAAGAAAAAAAAGCUGGUAUCAUGCUGAACAACUACCAUGUAAAAUCCAGCUCAAAUGGUCUAUAUCUUUACAAAGGCUCUGAGGACAUACAUAGAAGAGUGUAUUCAUGAAGAACAAGAGAACAUAGAAAGGACAUAACAUGAAUUUCAUGGUAUCAUGAGCACUAACACAAUAGGCCAGAGUGCUCAUCUUGGAACAAUAAAAAGUGAAUCAUUUGUCCUAGAUUUCUGCACUGCCUUUGAUCCACUUCUCCAUGGGCUUCAAUUCUGGAUUUUCACCACAUCCUCCUGGAUUCUAUGGGUGUUCUGGUACAUGGAGAUUAAUCUGACAAAACUGCUGAAUUCAUCUGUGAAUGAAUAAAGAACUGAAAGCUCCUUGCAAGCAAGAAGAGUUCUUUGUCACAGAUCAUUUGUGAAUGGCUACUAUUUGCAGCUAGGCCUAGAGAUGUUAAACAUCACAUCUGCCCAUCUUCUGUUGGCCAGAAAUUAGUGAGAAGACCAUGCCUUACUGCAAUGAUUUUGGAAAAGCAGUCUAACUGCAUUCUCAGAAGGAAGAGGGUCUGGUGAACAUCUAGACCAUCUAUGCCAAAGAGUAGUCUGGAAUCGAAUUGGCAAUAUCUCUGAGAUGUGCCUGUGCUGCUUGUCCAGUCUUCACUGAGAGAAGAAAAGAAGAAGACCCACACAUAAGAGCACUGAGAAAGAAGGGAGUCCACUGUGGCUAGAUUUGAGGGGAAGAGCAUAGUGAGCCCUGUGUGAUGCUGAAAAGAUAACAUUCUUCUGAACAUAUGAGAUACAAGUGCUGAGGACUUCCUGGAAUCAUUGGGGGAGUUUUUGGAGGGAGUGGUUUUCUUAUAGUUGGUAAAUGUGUGUGGUGGGGAAACAUACCUGCUACCAUUAUGAAAACCGAGAUUCAUAAUGCUUAAGGAAACAGAAAUUGUAUAUGGUUUCCUUGUUGGAAUCAUUCUAAAUUGCUGUGUACCUGCCAUAGUAAUUGGAAUAGACAGGGUCAACUUGCUAUGUUAAGUAAGAGCACUAGACUGGAUGUCAGAAACAGCAUUCCAAUGCUGGGACUCAUUCCCUGCUGUGUGACUUUGAGCAAGUUUUAGUUUCCUUUGUGAUCUACCACCUACGGUUCAGCUAUGAUUAAACUAAAUAAUAAAUGGGAAAGUGCUAUCCAAAUGGAAGGUGGACUGAUUAUAAUUGAAUUUGCUCUUGAUUGAAGAACCUCUAUGAUUAGUGAAUAGUUCUCUAGAGCAGUUGUUCUAGGGGUUGUACCGAAAUGCCUUUGGGACUUUAAAAAAUAUAAAGGAUGCAUUGGCCCUGACCCUGGAUAUUCUAGUGUUGGGGAGAAAAGAUAUCUACAUAUAGGUUUAAAAUUCUUAGGCAGCCUGGGUGGCUCAGCAGUUUAGUGCUGCCUUCAGCCCAGGGCCUGAUCCUGGAGACCAGGAUCGAGUCCCACAUCAGGCUCCCU
Molecule: long non-coding RNA, 2172 nt
Organism: Canis lupus familiaris (dog)
Lineage: Eukaryota; Metazoa; Chordata; Mammalia; Carnivora; Canidae
Exons: 10
Source: RefSeq, a predicted model, not a curated record